CCUACUGGUGGCAGCAGUGAGGCAUAUUGGUCAAUGGGCGCGAGCCUGAACCAGCCAAGUCGCGUGAGGGAUGACUGUCCUAUGGAUUGUCAACCUCUUUUAUAAGGGAAGAAUACUGCCUACGUGUACUCGAGUCCCGUUACCUUAUUAAUAAACAUCGGCUAACUCCGUGCCAACAGCCUCGGUAAUACGGAGGAUGCGGGGGUUAUCCGGAUUUAUUUGGGUUAAAGGGUGCGUAGGCGGUGUUUUAAGUUAGUGGUAAAACGGCGGGGCUUCAACCUGAUUGGCCAUUAAAACUGGCGUACUAGAGUAGAGACGAGGUAGGCGGAAGAAGUGAAGUAGCGGUGAAAUGCUUAGAUAUAACGUAGAACACCGAUAGCGAAGGCAGCUUACCAGACUGUUACUGACGCUGAAGCACGAGAGCGUGGGUAGCGAACAGGAUUAGAUACCCGUGUAGUC
RNAcentral lists this ribosomal RNA (459 nucleotides) under uncultured bacterium. RNAcentral describes it as "partial 16S ribosomal RNA". It matches the Rfam family "Bacterial small subunit ribosomal RNA", at positions 338 to 795 of the family's 1533-position model. The record is from RNAcentral.